This 329-nucleotide ribosomal RNA is filed under the name uncultured eukaryote. RNAcentral describes it as "partial 18S ribosomal RNA". It matches the Rfam family "Eukaryotic small subunit ribosomal RNA", at positions 1470 to 1796 of the family's 1831-position model. The record is from RNAcentral.
CCCUUAGAUGUCCUGGGCUGCACGCGCGCUACACUGACGAACUCAACGAGCUUAUCACCUUGGCAGAGAUGUCUGGGUAAUCUUUUGAAAGUUCGUCGUGCUGGGGAUAGAUGAUUGUAAUUAUUCGUCUUGAACGAGGAAUUCCUAGUAAGUGUGAGUCAUCAGCUCGCGCUGAUUACGUCCCUGCCCUUUGUACACACCGCCCGUCGCUCCUACCGAUUGAAUGGUCCGGUGAGGUUCUCGGAUUUUUUCUGUUGUUUGGUUCGCUAAACGAUUGAAGAGAGAAGUUACCCAAACCUUACCAUUUAGAGGAAGGAGAAGUCGUAACA